Molecule: ribosomal RNA, 253 nt
Filed under: uncultured bacterium
Lineage: Bacteria
Description: partial 16S ribosomal RNA
Rfam family: Bacterial small subunit ribosomal RNA
Source: RNAcentral
UACGGAGGGUGCAAGCGUUAAUCGGAAUUACUGGGCGUAAAGCGCACGCAGGUGGCUGCGUCAGUCGAUUGUGAAAGCCCUGGGCUUAACCUGGGAAUUGCAGUCGAUACUACUCGGCUCGAGUAUGGGAGAGGGCAGUGGAAUUCCCGGUGUAGCGGUGAAAUGCGUAGAUAUCGGGAGGAACAUCAGUGGCGAAGGCGGCUGCCUGGCCCAAUACUGACACUCAGGUGCGACAGCGUGGGGAGCAAACAGG